CCUACGGGGUGCAGCAGUGAGGAAUAUUGGUCAAUGGACGCAAGUCUGAACCAGCCAUGCCGCGUGCAGGAAGACGGCUCUAUGAGUUGUAAACUGCUUUUGUACGAGGGUAAACGCAGAUACGCGUAUCUGUCUGAAAGUAUCGUACGAAUAAGGAUCGGCUAACUCCGUGCCAGCAGCCGCGGUAAUACGGAGGAUUCAAGCGUUAUCCGGAUUUAUGGGGUUGAAAGGGUGCGUAGUCGGUCGGAUAAGUUAGAGGUGAAAGCCCGAGGUUCAACUUCGGAAUUGCCUCUGAUACUGUUCGGCUAGAGGGUAGUGGCGGUAGGCGGAAUGUAUGGUGGAGGGGUGAAAUGCUUAGAGAUCAUACAGAACACCGAUUGCGAAGGCGGCUUAC
This 394-nucleotide ribosomal RNA is filed under the name uncultured bacterium. RNAcentral's name for it is "partial 16S ribosomal RNA". It matches the Rfam family "Bacterial small subunit ribosomal RNA", at positions 338 to 729 of the family's 1533-position model. The record is from RNAcentral.